AAAACAUGUCCUUUAGGAUUAAAUUUAAGGUCUAACCUGCCCACUGAAAAAUUGAAUGGCCGCAGUAUUUUAACUGUGCAAAGGUAGCAUAAUCAUUAGUNUUUUAAUUGAAGGCUUGUAUGAAUGGUUGGACAAGAUAUAUAUUGUUUCAUAUAAAUUUAUAGAAUUUUAUUUUUUAGUUAAAAAGCUAAAAUUUUAUUAAAAGACGAGAAGACCCUAUAGAUCUUUAUAAUUAUUAAGUUUUAUUUAUUAAGAAUAUUUUAUAUUUAAUUUAGAUAAUUAUUUUAUUGGGGUGAUAGUAAGAUUAAUUGAACUCUUAUUUAAAUUAAUACAUAAAUUAAUGAUUAAUUGAUCCAAUAUUAUUGAUCAGUAAAAUAAGUUACCUUAGGGAUAACAGCGUAAUUUUUUUAGAGAGUUCAUAUCGAUAAAAAAGAUUGCGACCUCGAUGUUGGAUUAAGAGAUAAAUUUGGGCGCAGCCGUCAA
RNAcentral lists this ribosomal RNA (483 nucleotides) under Stenobasipteron wiedemanni. RNAcentral describes it as "partial large subunit ribosomal RNA". It matches the Rfam family "Bacterial large subunit ribosomal RNA", at positions 1810 to 2566 of the family's 2925-position model. Lineage: Eukaryota; Metazoa; Arthropoda; Insecta; Diptera; Nemestrinidae. The record is from RNAcentral.